Non-coding RNA from Pelobates cultripes (western spadefoot toad), 985 nucleotides. The record is from the annotation of a GenBank genome assembly. NCBI's taxonomy places the organism in Eukaryota, Metazoa, Chordata, Amphibia, Anura, Pelobatidae.
UUUAAUUUUGGUUAUUGUGCGGUUUUAUUUCAUACCAUAACUGUGUCCUCUUUCGAAAUACAACUGAGAAAAGCCAGAUCUGAAUCCCAGAAAUACAGUUUGACAAUGCUAUAACGUGCACCCUGUGAACUAGUUUGAGAAAUUUUCAUUAAAGAGACUUGCAUUACAUUACCUUUUAAGGAGACAGUUGGUCUCACUCUACAGGUGAUAGAAUUUAAAAAAAAAAGUCCCCCCCAUGUUUACCUCCUUUCUUAUACUUUCCACAACCACUCCAGAGUGGUCAGUAGCCGCUGUCCUAUCCUUACAAAUGCUGGAAAAGUACAUUGGGCAUGCCUGACAUAUUUACACACGAAGAUCUCUUCACCUUGCAAAAUCAUGACAUUCUCCCCGCUCGUGGUAUAAAUCUGACAUCCUACUCCCCUACCCCUCCUGGACACAGAGGGAUAUUUCUGUCCCCAUUGGACUGUGACACAAGGCACAAUCCGUCCGAAAUGAAAACCCAAUAUGGCUGCUGUCACUUUGCCCAAUCAGUGGAGCAUAUCCCUGGCCCACAAGCCUCACUAUGACCCCCUUAGAAUCUAUCCUUUGGAGACUGGAUGUAAUAGUCCGGGACUUUUGGCUGAAGCUCCAGAAUCGUAUACAACCUACUCACUCUGGGCAAAUGGAGGUAUCUCGGGGACGAGCAUGGCCAGGACAAGAGGGACCCCUCCAGGCCUUCGCGAGCACAAGUGCCUCUGCACUUUACCUAGGCCGAGAGCCCACUCUACCUGCUCACCCAGACUAGGGGACAGACCAGAUCUCAAGGGGCUCCCAAAUCCGUGCACGAACACUGCGGGCCUCCAAAUAGCACUGAGGCGGGAGGCAAGUCCUGAUCUGCGCUGGUUGGGCUCCCUACAUUAAUGCUGGUUCCAGCUGCCUCCCAGCAUUGGGAAUCGGAUGAUGUUGACUUUUGCCUGUAACUAUUAUCCCUGCUGAUACCCUAUCU